Molecule: transfer RNA, 74 nt
Filed under: Calditerrivibrio nitroreducens
Lineage: Bacteria; Pseudomonadati; Deferribacterota; Deferribacteres; Deferribacterales; Calditerrivibrionaceae
Also listed under: 4 other names
Description: tRNA-Gly
Rfam family: tRNA
About the family: Transfer RNA (tRNA) molecules are approximately 80 nucleotides in length. Their secondary structure includes four short double-helical elements and three loops (D, anti-codon, and T loops). Further hydrogen bonds mediate the characteristic L-shaped molecular structure. tRNAs have two regions of fundamental functional importance: the anti-codon, which is responsible for specific mRNA codon recognition, and the 3' end, to which the tRNAs corresponding amino acid is attached (by aminoacyl-tRNA synthetases). tRNAs cope with the degeneracy of the genetic code in two manners: having more than one tRNA (with a specific anti-codon) for a particular amino acid; and 'wobble' base-pairing, i.e. permitting non-standard base-pairing at the 3rd anti-codon position.
Source: RNAcentral
GCGGGCGUAGCUCAGCUGGCUAGAGCAUUAGCCUUCCAAGCUAAGGGUCGCGAGUUCGAAUCUCGUCGCCCGCU